Molecule: ribosomal RNA, 504 nt
Filed under: uncultured bacterium
Lineage: Bacteria
Description: bacterial SSU rRNA
Rfam family: Bacterial small subunit ribosomal RNA
Source: RNAcentral
AGAGUUUGAUCAUGGCUCAGAUUGAACGCUGGCGGAAUGCUUUACACAUGCAAGUCGAACGGCAGCACGGGGGCAACCCUGGUGGCGAGCGGCGAACGGGUGAGUAACACAUCGGAACGUACCCUGUCGUGGGGGAUAACGAGUCGAAAGAUUCGCUAAUACCGCAUACGACCCGAGGGUGAAAGCGGGGGAUCGCAAGACCUCGCGCGACUGGAGCGGCCGAUGGCGGAUUAGCUAGUUGGUGGGGUAACGGCCCACCAAGGCGACGACGGGUAGCCGGCCUGAGAGGGCGACCGGCCACACUGGAACUGAGACACGGUCCGGACUCCUACGGGAGGCAGCAGUGGGGAAUAUUGCGCAAUGGGCGAAAGCCUGACGCAGCCAUACCGCGUGUGUGAAGAAGGCCUUCGGGUUGUAAAGCACUUUCAGUGGGGAGGAAAAGCUGGCGGCUAAUAUCCGCCGGCCGUGACGCUACCCACAGAAGAAGCACCGGCUAAUUCCGUG